Molecule: ribosomal RNA, 167 nt
Filed under: Pseudochromidae sp. MOOP_2903
Lineage: Eukaryota; Metazoa; Chordata; Actinopteri; Pseudochromidae
Description: partial small subunit ribosomal RNA
Source: RNAcentral
CACCGCGGUUAUACGAUAGGCCCAAGCUGAUAGAUUUCGGCGUAAAGGGUGGUUAAGGAAUUAAUAAACUAAAGCGAAACACCCUCAAAAUUGUAAAAAGUACCCGAGGGUAGGAAGAACACCUACGAAAGUGGCUUUACUAAGCUGAAACCACAAAAGCUAUGAAA